UAAAGUUUUAAAAAGCACUAGCAGGGGCCGUGGCCCCUGGUGUGUUCCGAUGGCACCUUGUCAGCGUCAGCUGUCUUGUCCUAUCGCUGCUGUCCUCUGGCGUGGCCACACCCUGGCUGCACCAGCAGCUGUGGCUGUGCUGAAAUAGUUCUGAAUGGGCUCAUGACAGCGAGACAGCUGUGCUCUCCGAUGACUUAGACGUGACAUGUCUCUCCCCACAGGCGAUGAGGACAUCAUAGGACAGAAGGAAUUCGAAAAAUGACAAUGCGCAUACUCUGCUUUCCAGUUUCUGCCAGUUGGAGGUGACUUCAUCGGCUCACUGAGCUUUCCUCUGGCCUCAGAAAGAAGUGUUAGCAGACAGAAUACAGAAAUGUUUCUAGCCUGCCUGGGACCACCGCUGAGUCUUUGAUCCAGAAGACUUUUAAGAGGAGCAUCAUCUAACCUAGAGGCUCUGUCCAUCGCUUCCCCAGAGGCAGGGGCUAAAGCAGGUAGGCUCUGGACACUUCCAGCCAACAGCCCA
This is a non-coding RNA of Miniopterus natalensis, 520 nucleotides long. The record is from RefSeq and is a predicted model, not a curated record. NCBI's taxonomy places the organism in Eukaryota, Metazoa, Chordata, Mammalia, Chiroptera, Miniopteridae.